RNAcentral lists this ribosomal RNA (450 nucleotides) under uncultured bacterium. RNAcentral's name for it is "bacterial SSU rRNA". It matches the Rfam family "Bacterial small subunit ribosomal RNA", at positions 354 to 796 of the family's 1533-position model. The record is from RNAcentral.
GUGGGGAAUCUUGCGCAAUGCGCGAAAGCGUGACGCAGCAACACCGCGUGAGGGAAGACGGCCUUCGGGUUGUAAACCUCUUUCAGGAGGGACGAAGGGUGACCGGUGAACAGCCGUGUCACUUGACGGUACCUCCACAAGAAGCACCGGCUAACUACGUGCCAGCAGCCGCGGUAAUACGUAGGGUGCAAGCGUUGUCCGGAAUCAUUGGGCGUAAAGCGCGCGUAGGCGGCCCGAUAAGUCCGCUGUAAAAGUCAACGGCUCAACUGUUGAAAGCCGGUGGAUACUGUCGGGCUAGAGUACGGAAGAGGCAAGUGGAACUCCUGGUGUAGCGGUGGAAUGCGCAGAUAUCAGGAAGAACACCUAUAGCGAAGGCAGCUUGCUGGGACGUUACUGACGCUGAGGCGCGAAAGCGUGGGGAGCGAACAGGAUUAGAAACCCCAGUAGUCC